CCCUGAUCUAAUAUGAAAAACCAAGUAUCCCUCCAAAUCCUCGCAUUGUUCGCUGCUGCCCUCUGCAGUAUCGCGGAGAAUCCCGCCGCGCGGCCGCAGAAAGGAAACGCCCACAGCGGAGAAGCUUUUUUCAAGGUGGACUUCCCGAACGUGCAUGGAAAUGGCCGCAGUUGCGCGACCUGUCACGUCCCUGAAGAAGCUUUCCAACUGACGCCGCAACACGUGGAAGCGCGUUUUCAAGCGCUCGAGCAGCGGCGACUGACUGACCCCUCCGCGGACGAUCCGCUCUUCCGCUCGAUCGAUGCGAACGAUUUUGCAGAAGACUUUACCAAUCUGCGCAAGCACGCCCUUGU
This 353-nucleotide unclassified non-coding RNA is filed under the name uncultured bacterium. RNAcentral's name for it is "contains 16S-23S intergenic spacer region". The record is from RNAcentral.